RNAcentral lists this ribosomal RNA (253 nucleotides) under uncultured bacterium. Its description in RNAcentral is "partial 16S ribosomal RNA". It matches the Rfam family "Bacterial small subunit ribosomal RNA", at positions 524 to 776 of the family's 1533-position model. The record is from RNAcentral.
UACGUAGGGUGCAAGCGUUGUCCGGAAUUAUUGGGCGUAAAGAGCUCGUAGGCGGUUUGUUGCGUCGGCUGUGAAAUCCCGAGGCUCAACCUCGGGUCUGCAGUCGAUACGAGCAAACUAGAGUGUUGCAGGGGAGACUGGAAUCCCUGGUGUAGCGGUGAAAUGCUUAGAUAUCGUCAAGAACACCAAUAGUGAAGACAGCUUACUGGGCUUAAACUGACGCUGAGGCACGAAAGUGUGGGGAUCAAACAGG